Molecule: unclassified non-coding RNA, 214 nt
Filed under: uncultured Mycena
Lineage: Eukaryota; Fungi; Basidiomycota; Agaricomycetes; Agaricales; Tricholomataceae
Description: sequence contains ITS2
Source: RNAcentral
AAUUCUCAACCUUGUUCGCUUUUACCGGCUUGAACGAGGCUUGGAUGUGAGGGCUUGCUGGCUUCCUUCAGUGGAUGGUCUGCUCCCUUUAAAUGCAUUAGUGGGAUCUCUUGUGGACCGUCACUUGGUGUGAUAAUUAUCUACGCCUCGUCGACUUUGAAGCAAAUCUUAUGGGAACCCGCUCAUAACCGUCUCGCAAGGGACAACUUUGACA